GUAGGGUGCAAGCGUUAAUCGGAAUUACUGGGCGUAAAGCGUGCGCAGGCGGUUAUGCAAGACAGAUGUGAAAUCCCCGGGCUCAACCUGGGAACUGCAUUUGUGACUGCAUGGCUAGAGUACGGCAGAGGGGGAUGGAAUUCCGCGUGUAGCAGUGAAAUGCGUAGAUAUGCGGAGGAACACCGAUGGCGAAGGCAAUCCCCUGGGCCUGUACUGACGCUCAUGCACGAAAGCGUGGGGAGCAAACAGGAUUAGAUACCCUGGUAGUCCACGCCCUAAACGAUGUCAACUGGUUGUUGGGAGGGUUUCUUCUCAGUAACGUAGCUAACGCGUGAAGUUGACCGCCUGGGGAGUACGGCCGCAAGGUUGAA
RNAcentral lists this ribosomal RNA (371 nucleotides) under uncultured bacterium. Its description in RNAcentral is "bacterial SSU rRNA". It matches the Rfam family "Bacterial small subunit ribosomal RNA", at positions 527 to 898 of the family's 1533-position model. The record is from RNAcentral.